GAUGAAGAACGCAGUGAAAUGCGAUACGUAGUGUGAAUUGCAGAAUUCAGUGAAUCAUCGAAUCUUUGAACGCACAUUGCACCUCUCGGUAUUCCGGGAGGUAUGCCUGUUCGAGCGUCAUUUGUACCCUCAAGCUCUGCUUGGUGUUGGGUGUUUGUUCCGCCUCUGUGUGUGAACUCGCCUCAAAACAAUUGGCAGCCGGCGUACUUGUUUCGGAGCGCAGCACAUUUUGCGAUCCAGAUCAACGUACAGCGGCAUCCAAGAAGCCUUAUUUAACGCUCUUGACCUCGGAUCAGGUAGGGAUACCCGCUGAACUUAAGCAUAUUCAAUAAGCGGAGGA
This 340-nucleotide unclassified non-coding RNA is filed under the name soil metagenome. RNAcentral describes it as "partial contains 5.8S ribosomal RNA, internal transcribed spacer 2, and large subunit ribosomal RNA". The stretch from base 1 to 120 matches the Rfam family "5.8S ribosomal RNA", at positions 35 to 154 of the family's 154-position model. The record is from RNAcentral.